Molecule: ribosomal RNA, 487 nt
Filed under: uncultured bacterium
Lineage: Bacteria
Description: bacterial SSU rRNA
Rfam family: Bacterial small subunit ribosomal RNA
Source: RNAcentral
GAUGAACGCUAGCGGCAGGCUUAACACAUGCAAGUCGAGGGGUAACAUAGAAAAGCUUGCUUUUCUGAUGACGACCGGCGCACGGGUGCGUAACGCGUAUACAACCUACCUUUUAGCGGGGAAUAGCCCAGGGAAACUUGGAUUAAUGCCCCAUAGUAUAUAGACUUCUCCUGAAGUUUAUAUUAAACAUUUAUGGCUAUUAGAUGGGUAUGCGUCCUAUUAGUUAGUUGGUAAGGUAACGGCUUACCAAGGCAGCGAUAGGUAGGGGUCCUGAGAGGGAGAUCCCCACACUGGUACUGAGACACGGACCAGACUCCUACGGGAGGCAGCAGUGAGGAAUAUUGGACAAUGGGCGAGAGCCUGAUCCAGCCAUGCCGCGUGCAGGAAGACUGCCCUAUGGGUUGUAAACUGCUUUUACAGAGGAAGAACCACCCCCACGUGUGGGGGUUUGACGGUACUCUGCGAAUAAGGAUCGGCUAACUCCGUG